ACCUGCAUUAUUUGACGUUACCUACAGAAGAAGCACCGGCUAACUCCGUGCCAGCAGCCGCGGUAAUACGGAGGGUGCGAGCGUUAAUCGGAAUUACUGGGCGUAAAGCGCAUGCAGGCGGCCUGUUAAGUCAGAUGUGAAAGACCCGGGGCGUUAACCUCGGAAUUGCAUUUGUAAACUGGCAGGCUAGAGUCUUGUAGAGGGGGGUAGGAAGUUUCUAGGUGUAGCGGUGAAAUAGCGUAGAGAUCUGAAGGAAUACCAGUGGCGAAGGCGGCCCCCUCGGACAAAGACUGACGCUCAGAUGCGAAAGCGUGGGGAGCAAACAGGAUUAGAUACCCCUGGUAG
RNAcentral lists this ribosomal RNA (345 nucleotides) under uncultured bacterium. RNAcentral describes it as "bacterial SSU rRNA". It matches the Rfam family "Bacterial small subunit ribosomal RNA", at positions 458 to 793 of the family's 1533-position model. The record is from RNAcentral.